UCCCUUAUAGCUUAGUUGGUAAAGAAUCCGCCUGCAAUGUGGAGACUCCGGUUCGAUUCCUGGGUAGGGAA
Molecule: transfer RNA, 71 nt
Filed under: Bos taurus (domestic cattle)
Lineage: Eukaryota; Metazoa; Chordata; Mammalia; Artiodactyla; Bovidae
Also listed under: 3 other names
Rfam family: tRNA
About the family: Transfer RNA (tRNA) molecules are approximately 80 nucleotides in length. Their secondary structure includes four short double-helical elements and three loops (D, anti-codon, and T loops). Further hydrogen bonds mediate the characteristic L-shaped molecular structure. tRNAs have two regions of fundamental functional importance: the anti-codon, which is responsible for specific mRNA codon recognition, and the 3' end, to which the tRNAs corresponding amino acid is attached (by aminoacyl-tRNA synthetases). tRNAs cope with the degeneracy of the genetic code in two manners: having more than one tRNA (with a specific anti-codon) for a particular amino acid; and 'wobble' base-pairing, i.e. permitting non-standard base-pairing at the 3rd anti-codon position.
Source: Rfam by way of RNAcentral